Gallus gallus (chicken) is the source of this 939-nucleotide RNA transcript. RefSeq lists it as uncharacterized. The record is from RefSeq and is a predicted model, not a curated record. The transcript is spliced from 4 exons. NCBI's taxonomy places the organism in Eukaryota, Metazoa, Chordata, Aves, Galliformes, Phasianidae.
UGGAGAAGUUUUUGGUAUCCAGUCUCCUGCUCAGGAAGAAAGAAGAAAGUUUUUGGAGGACUUAAUCAUGAGUGGAGCUGCUGCUGAAGCUCCACUUCAAACAAGCAAGCUGGUGAGGACGUUGUGCAUCUCAGCCUUUCCUCACUGCAAGGUUUGUUCUGGAGGUCCCGAUGACGGCACAGGCAUGAAGCAGCCCAGAGCUCGUCGGUGCGGAGAGACUGCGUAUUGCGUUGUGAAGGGAGAGACGGAGGAGGGGUUUGAACAGCGUUGCGCAGGAAUGAAAGAAGCUGGUAAGAGAAGAGGCUGCGGCACUUCAAAGUGUGCUGUGGAUGGGCAGCGCGUUGACAACCCAAGGGUGGCACCAGGAGAUGCAGCGCAGCCCUCUCCAGCAGCAGGGUGCAUUUAUUCGUCUUGCUAAUUCUUGAAGUAGAAGGCAGGAGACGGGCAGCGUUACUGCAGCUCGUCUGCGACUUUGAAGCUAAGUUGGGAAGUGGAAGAUGUGGAUGUGAAAGAAGAACUCAGUUACUGGGACGCUCCCUUUUCUUCCCCUAGCUGUUCCCUUGCCUCAGCCCGGGUUCCCCUUGCAUUCCUGUAGGUUUCCCUUCCAUCCCCCUGGCUGCCCUGUGCUUUCCCCAAGGUUGCCCUUUCCUUUCCCAUGACAGCCCACCCAUAACUCCCUCAGCGCCCCAAUAGUCCCCUCAAUAUUUCCCAUCCAAGAACCUGUAGCUACCCCACGACCCCCACGGAGCCCCAUAGGCCCUCAAGGACCUCUUCACCUUCCGCAUAGCUGGCCCAAAACGUCACAGAACCACAUAGUCUGUUACAGUACCCCAUUUCCCUACUGGGCUCCCACUGAACCCCCAUGUUUCCUCCCUAAGACCUGCCUUACCUCAUCCAGAACCCCCCUGAGAUCUUCCCGACCCCAAAGUUCCUUACAGG